GCCAGUGUGGUGUAAUGGUUUGAGUGUUGGACUACAACUCUGGAGACCAGGGUUUGAAUCCCAGCUCAGCCA
Phrynosoma platyrhinos (Desert horned lizard) is the source of this 72-nucleotide non-coding RNA. NCBI's taxonomy places the organism in Eukaryota, Metazoa, Chordata, Lepidosauria, Squamata, Phrynosomatidae. The record is from the annotation of a GenBank genome assembly.